CUGGAGUCAGUUAGCUGCUUUGUAAAGAAGAAAGACUCAGUGCUCUGAGGAGCUGCCCCAUGAAAAACACCAAGAAGGUAGUGUAUGAAAUUUCCCAUAUUGAUGCUGUCCCUUUUGACUUUGUAUCUUCUGCACAGAUUUGAUACUUGCAGACAAACCCAAGAUCAAUGACUUGGCAUCUAAUGGAGAUCGUGGGCGAAGUUGUGAGUUUCAUUUGGCAUUUGCUCUAAACUCCUCAUUGCAGCUCUACUUGGAUACCCUCUCUCAAGGGGGACAGAGUGAGAGUGGAGGAAGAAGAGAGUUGUGAAGCUGGAGGUUACAGUAGAAGAGGAGCACAAGGCAUGGAAGAAUGUCUUCAUCCCUCAGAUUAUUUAUACAAGCAGAGGAUGAACUUCAGAUACUGACAGGAGCUGUGGCUAUAACCUGCUUAUGCCUCAUUCAGCACCUAAGUUACCACUUAAUGUCUAAAUUGAGACAAUAGGUACUGACCUCUUGUCUCAAUCAAAAUCUUUCAAAUGUUAAGAAACUGCCCUCCUGAGAAGCUAGGAGGUAACUAAAAUAGGUUCACUGGGUGGUUUUGUGUGCUCUAUGAUUAUGAGUUCCUCUGAGGAGCACUCAAGAGAGCUGUUGACUGUGAUCCAAGUAUCUGGAAUAAUGAGUUCCUUUUAGAGCUUCUUAUCACACUGAGUUUCAGUUUAUUCACUGAACCUACUGAUCCUUUAAAAUCAUGUUCCACUUUCAGUUUUAAACAAAGGUAGCUAGACAGCAGAGAUCAACAGUGUAAAAGUAGAAUUUGAGUGCUGUGAACUUAUGCCUUUGUUCUUCUGAGCUGAUGUACUGACGUGGAGCUGAAUUCUGUGUUUAAAAACAAACUAAAUGAAAAUUGCAUUCAAAAAUGUCAGCCCUUUAGAUCAGGCUGAGCUGAGCACUGUGAAACCUCAUCACUAUGAAGCACUAAGCACUUUCUGUAAUUAUGAUAUGAACAUUUACCAUACUAAUUUUUUAAGAUUUUGUUCCUAAUACAAGGGACUCAAAAUGAGUUUCCAUGAGAAACAUUCAUUUUGUUGUAAGGUUGCAUGAAGAUAUUUGCCUGCCAUAACAAUCAAGUUCUCAGAAAACAAUCAGUAUAUUUUACCACUUUCUGCUAAGUUUUUCUAUCACCUGUGGCAGCAACACAGUUUUGAGCCUUCAGAUUGACAACAGGGACUUUGGCCAUUUGAACAUGGAGAGGCUGCAUUUAAAUUGUGGAUGUUGGAAUACUUCCAAUUGCCUGGAUCCAGGCAUUCACCCAGCUAAGAUGCAGUCUCCUGUGGGAUGUGGCUUUGCCCUGAUUUGUCUGUUACAUCUUGGCUUUCAUUGAAGGCAAUCUGUAUGCACUCAGCAGACAGGAGACAGGACAUGCUCUAGUCACAGCCCAGCUCCAGAUUUUACCUGAUGGUGUGCUGUUAUCCAGGUAUUCCUCUGCUGAUUCCUUUCUGCCAUGCCCUUCUCUUUCCCUGGCCAUACUGCUCUUCUUAUCCAUCCAGCUCCAGUCUUAUUUCCUCUAGCUCCUCUCCUCUACUCCUUCCAGCUCUUGUGUCCUCUGGUAGUCAGUUCUUUUUGUGCCCUAUCACUUCUCAGGCCCUUUCUGCCUGCCCCCUCUGUCUCACAUACACAUUUUCUUCUUUUAUUCUUUCUUCCUUUCACCAACACCUUCAGAAGGUAUCUCAGCUUCUUUUGUUUCCUUGUCUACACUGUUGUCUCAGCCAGUCCCAGUUCUUCCUGAUGUCUUCUCUUCAGCCCCUCUCCACUGUUAUUCCUCACCUCUGCUCCCUCUUUUGCAGCCCCAGCUUUUCCUGCUCUCCAUUUAACCUCUGCAGAUGCCCAGUUCUCUCACUGGGACUGGUAUGAUACCCCAAUUCUCACCUUCUUGUCCAGCUUGUCAAUAUACCUUUUGCACCUCCGUUCCAUUUCUCCAUGAUACGCCUUCUGCCUUCAUGGACAGUGAUCCUGACAAGUCAUAUUGAGGCUUUAUUUCCCUAGCAAAUGAAUAAACAAUUUUCUUUCUAAUAUUGAAGAUUUCUUGGUAAUGUUUCUGCCUUUUUCCUUUGUGUUUACUGGCAUAAUUCUAAAAUGUUUUCCCCCAGUCAAUACCACACGAUGAAAAA
Molecule: long non-coding RNA, 2147 nt
Organism: Zonotrichia leucophrys gambelii
Lineage: Eukaryota; Metazoa; Chordata; Aves; Passeriformes; Passerellidae
Exons: 6
Source: RefSeq, a predicted model, not a curated record